RNAcentral lists this ribosomal RNA (254 nucleotides) under uncultured bacterium. RNAcentral's name for it is "partial 16S ribosomal RNA". It matches the Rfam family "Bacterial small subunit ribosomal RNA", at positions 524 to 776 of the family's 1533-position model. The record is from RNAcentral.
CACGUAGGGCGCAAGCGUUGUCCGGAAUUAUUGGGCGUAAAGAGCUCGUAGGCGGUCUGUUGCGUCCGCUGUGAAAACUCGGGGCUUAACCCCGAGCCUGCAGUGGAUACGGGCAGACUAGAGGUAGGUAGGGGAGAAUGGAAUUCCCGGUGUAGCGGUGAAAUGCGCAGAUAUCGGGAGGAACACCGGGUGGCGAAGGCGGUUCUCUGGGCCUUACCUGACGCUGAGGAGCGAAAGCGUGGGGAGCGAACAGG